GAUGAACGCUGGCGGCGUGCCUAAUACAUGCAAGUCGAGCGAACGGACGAGAAGCUUGCUUCUCUGAUGUUAGCGGCGGACGGGUGAGUAACACGUGGAUAACCUACCUAUAAGACUGGGAUAACUUCGGGAAACCGGAGCUAAUACCGGAUAAUAUUUUGAACCGCAUGGUUCAAAAGUGAAAGACGGUCUUGCUGUCACUUAUAGAUGGAUCCGCGCUGCAUUAGCUAGUUGGUAAGGUAACGGCUUACCAAGGCAACGAUGCAUAGCCGACCUGAGAGGGUGAUAGGCCACACUGGAACUGAGACACGGUCCAGACUCCUACGGGAGGCAGCAGUAGGGAAUCUUCCGCAAUGGGCGAAAGCCUGACGGAGCAACGCCGCGUGAGUGAUGAAGGUCUUCGGAUCGUAAAACUCUGUUAUUAGGGAAGAACAUAUGUGUACGUAACUGUGCACAUCUUGACGGUACCUAAUCAGAAAGCCACGGCUAACUACGUG
RNAcentral lists this ribosomal RNA (497 nucleotides) under uncultured bacterium. Its description in RNAcentral is "partial 16S ribosomal RNA". It matches the Rfam family "Bacterial small subunit ribosomal RNA", at positions 28 to 507 of the family's 1533-position model. The record is from RNAcentral.